GUACCCGGGGUGGGGGGGGCUGUCGGCGGGCGGCAGGCCAGCUCGGUGCCCAGAGCCCGCAGUGAGGAGGCAGCGUGGGCAGCGGCCGCACUGACGGUGGUGUUGGCGCUACUGACCGUGGCCGUACUCUACACCCGCCUCUACCGUCGCUUCAUCCGGAGCCGCAGCCUCUACUGGACCCCCGCCCACUGCAGCACCGAGACCGUGGCAGAUAUAAUAAAGAGAAGAAUUGUCAGGUUUGGCAAGAGGAAAAAGCGGUCACCGGUUAGGAAGAAAUUCUCUGCACCGUACAACGCACUCCCCAGUGAGAUUAGCGACUGACUGGAGCAAAGUGAUGGGUUCCAUCUGCCAGCUUGUCCAUGGUGUGAGUGGCUGUGAAGUGACUCGAAUGUGCAGCAGAGUUGGACCUGCACCUGGACAACAACAAGACUGCAAUACUGGCCGUGGGCCCUGAGCGAGCGUGAGGACUUCUAACGAUUUAUUUUACCACAAUCUUCCGUGACACAAGAUGCUUUGUUCCAAGAUUUACAUCGUACGUUCUGGAGUGAUCUACAGAUCAACCCUCUCUCUCUCUUGAGAGAAACAGGAGGGAAAUCGCACCCUUUUACAGUAGAAUGUAGAGUUGAUAUAAUGUCAUUGUGAACCAAGUCAAUUUUAAUCGAGUCGAGUGUGACGUGGGUCAGAUUACAGGUACAUGGGUCAGAUUACAGGUACAUGGGUCAUUAUGCAAGUUUAUGGUUUACGAGGUUUAUACAAGAAUAUUUGGGCCACGGCCUCAGGGAUGGGUGUGGACUGAGCUCUCGAAUAAUUCCAGAUCUUAUAAUCUUGUAUAAUUAGGAUCAGAGGUCAAAGCCUCAGAAUUAAAGGACGUUCCUUUGGGAAGGAGAUGAGGAGGAAUUUCUUUAGUCAGAAGGUGGUGAAUCUGUGGAAUUCUUUGCCACAGAAGCUAGUGGAGGCCAAG
Amblyraja radiata (thorny skate) is the source of this 961-nucleotide long non-coding RNA. RefSeq lists it as uncharacterized. The record is from RefSeq and is a predicted model, not a curated record. The transcript is spliced from 3 exons. Lineage: Eukaryota; Metazoa; Chordata; Chondrichthyes; Rajiformes; Rajidae.